CCUACGGGUGGCAGCAGUGAGGAAUAUUGGUCCAUGGGCGUAAGCCUGAACCAGCCAAGUCGCGUGAGGGAUGAAGGUUCUAUGGAUCGUCAACCUCUUUUAGAAGGGAAUAAAGUGUGGGACGUGUCCUAUUUUGUAUGUACCUUAUGAAUAAGGAUCGGAUAAUUCCGGUCCAGCAGCCGCGGUAGUACGGAGGGUCCGAGCGUUAUCCGGAAUUAUUGGGUUUAAAGGGGGCGUAGGAGGCAUUUUAAGUCAGCGGGGAAAGUCUGUGGCUCAACCAAAGAAUUGCAGUUGAUACUGGGGGGCUAGAGUAUGUUUGAGGCAGACGGAAUGCGUGGUGUAGCGGUGAAAUGCUUAGAUAUCACGCAGAACCCCGAUGGCGAAGGCGGCCUGCCAGGCCAUGACUGACGCUGAUGAACGAAAGCGUGGGGAUCAAACAGGAUUAGAUACCCCAGUAGUC
RNAcentral lists this ribosomal RNA (460 nucleotides) under uncultured bacterium. Its description in RNAcentral is "partial 16S ribosomal RNA". It matches the Rfam family "Bacterial small subunit ribosomal RNA", at positions 338 to 795 of the family's 1533-position model. The record is from RNAcentral.